AUUGAACGCUGGCGGCAUGCCUUACACAUGCAAGUCGAACGGCAGCACGGGAGCAAUCCUGGUGGCGAGUGGCGAACGGGUGAGUAAUAUAUCGGAACGUGCCCGGUCGUGGGGAUAACGUAGCGAAAGCUACGCUAAUACCGCAUACGAUCUACGGAUGAAAGCGGGGGAUCGCAAGACCUCGCGCGAUUGGAGCGGCCGAUAUCAGAUUAGGUAGUUGGUGAGGUAAAGGCUCACCAAGCCGACGAUCUGUAGCUGGUCUGAGAGGACGACCAGCCACACUGGGACUGAGACACGGCCCAGACUCCUACGGAGGCAGCAGUGGGAAUUUUGGACAAUGGGCGCAAGCCUGAUCCAGCAAUGCCGCGUGCAGGAUGAA
RNAcentral lists this ribosomal RNA (379 nucleotides) under uncultured bacterium. RNAcentral's name for it is "bacterial SSU rRNA". It matches the Rfam family "Bacterial small subunit ribosomal RNA", at positions 30 to 412 of the family's 1533-position model. The record is from RNAcentral.